AAAAGCCAGGAGGCGGGACAGGGGGCGGGCAUGGACACGCGAUCAGAUUCGCUACCGCAGAGCUCUAGCUCCGGAGCGCGCCAAGUUGAAGGCCAAAGUCGAGGUUGGGAUGCCCGAUGCCUGGCGCGGGGAGACGGAGGAAGCAAAGUGCUGCUGCCUGGUGGAAAUACAGUAUUAUAUAAUGACAUGCUACUAUGCAUCUCUACCUAACUCCUCGUCUGGUGAUGCCAUAUUGAAAUCAGCCAUACUGAGAGUAUUUACACACUGCUGAAGUCAGUAAAUGCUACAAAUCAAGGCUUGAAUGUAACCUACAUGAGAAAGAGUUGCCUUGCUCACUGCCGUAUCCCAGUAUCCCAAGAACCUUGGAGAUGCUCUAUGAAUACUGAAUGAAUCUGAGAGGAAACUAGCCCGAAGGGGGAAGGCUCUGGAAGCAAGCCCUCAUGGACCAACGGAGAAAAAGGAAACUGAAUCUUGGGGAGAUUAAGCAACUCUUUCAAGGUCAACCGGGGAGCGGCAGAACCAGAGUUCGAAGGAAACCUUUCUGAAUCUGACGUCUGCCCCUUCUAAAUUAGGACUCUCAUCUAUCAGCCUGUGAGAAAAAAUACAGAAAGCAUCAUUCAGGCAACACAUGAACUCAAGACACUGAGACUUCGCUAACCUUCCUCGCACACAAGGUCCUAAAGGAACUACCACACGCAUGUCCACAUUUGAUGCACAUAACAGACUCUCACCGCAUUGAAAUAAACCCCAGUAUGAUCAUAAUAGCUUUUUUCUUUCAAUUUUUAUUGAACACAAGUAUUCCGACAGAAUGCAAAGUCAAAAUUCUCAGUUAGUACUCAGUAUUUACACCAGUGAGAAUGGAAACAAAGGUGGUAUCGAUGUUUCACUUGGUAAAAAGUUUUAUAACAAGAGAGAAGGCCCCCGAAGUACAGAAUGCUGGGUAGGGAUG
This 949-nucleotide long non-coding RNA is filed under the name Homo sapiens (human). Its description in RNAcentral is "TTC12 divergent transcript (TTC12-DT)". Lineage: Eukaryota; Metazoa; Chordata; Mammalia; Primates; Hominidae. The record is from RNAcentral.